GCAACCCAAAGAUCGUUGGACAACAGUACGGAGACACAGACUGCUGUCAGACUGCACCAAGACCAUAAAUAAAGUGACCAGACCGCCAGAUGGAUGGGGUC
This is a long non-coding RNA of Thalassophryne amazonica, 101 nucleotides long. RefSeq lists it as uncharacterized. The record is from RefSeq and is a predicted model, not a curated record. The transcript is spliced from 3 exons. Lineage: Eukaryota; Metazoa; Chordata; Actinopteri; Batrachoidiformes; Batrachoididae.